This 77-nucleotide transfer RNA is filed under the name Hyphomicrobiaceae bacterium. RNAcentral's name for it is "tRNA-Arg". It matches the Rfam family "tRNA". Rfam says of the family: Transfer RNA (tRNA) molecules are approximately 80 nucleotides in length. Their secondary structure includes four short double-helical elements and three loops (D, anti-codon, and T loops). Further hydrogen bonds mediate the characteristic L-shaped molecular structure. tRNAs have two regions of fundamental functional importance: the anti-codon, which is responsible for specific mRNA codon recognition, and the 3' end, to which the tRNAs corresponding amino acid is attached (by aminoacyl-tRNA synthetases). tRNAs cope with the degeneracy of the genetic code in two manners: having more than one tRNA (with a specific anti-codon) for a particular amino acid; and 'wobble' base-pairing, i.e. permitting non-standard base-pairing at the 3rd anti-codon position. The record is from RNAcentral. Lineage: Bacteria; Pseudomonadati; Pseudomonadota; Alphaproteobacteria; Hyphomicrobiales; Hyphomicrobiaceae.
GCACCCGUAGCUCAGCUGGAUAGAGUACCAGAUUCCGAAUCUGGGGGUCACAGGUUCGAAUCCUGUCGGGUGCGCCA